AUCAUGACCUGAGCCGAAGGCAGAGGCUUAAACCACUGAGCCACCCAGGCGCCCCUCCGGCCUCAUUUCUGCUGUGAAAGAAAGGUCGUGGCCUUCCGUGUUUACUGCAGUUGUGGUUUUAUAGUUUCUGAGAAAAUGAAACCAUGGUAUUUCACAGAAUACUGAAAUAGCAAGGAAUCUCAUGAUGGCAGGUUUAGAAGGUUCUGGAGGCAGGGGCUAAGAAGGGAGACACCUAUGACCUCAUGAUCCCAUUUUAUUUAUUAAUUCAUUUUAGCAAAACGAUGGAAACAAGCUGAGCUAUCCCUUGUACUAAAUACUUGGAGGUGCCAACAUGGGGUCCCCAACACAGCCUGGGUUCCAGGGGACUCGAGGACACCCGUGCCAGUCCAGGCUCCCAAGUAAUGAUGACACAUCAGUCAGCCUAAAGACAACACCAAGUCAUUUCGAAGUCUGUGUAUGCGAUGAUUCGCAUCUGCGGUGCCUGGAGCCCACCUGAGCUGGCAGAAGGCUCUGCGCAGCGACGAGUCCCAGCCUUUCUGACCACCACUGCUCGGUUUUUGAAUGGAAACCCCAGGCCUUAUCCACUCCCAAUACCAACGGGGAACAGUCAGGGGCAGUGUGCGGUUCCCAGACUGUGGGGGAUGGGGUCCUUCUGUUUGGUCCCUUCCCAGGUCUAGGGUCCAUGGGAACAGGGGGUGGUG
Mustela erminea (ermine) is the source of this 701-nucleotide long non-coding RNA. RefSeq lists it as uncharacterized. The record is from RefSeq and is a predicted model, not a curated record. Lineage: Eukaryota; Metazoa; Chordata; Mammalia; Carnivora; Mustelidae. The transcript is spliced from 3 exons.